Molecule: ribosomal RNA, 743 nt
Filed under: Pseudomonas fluorescens
Lineage: Bacteria; Pseudomonadati; Pseudomonadota; Gammaproteobacteria; Pseudomonadales; Pseudomonadaceae
Description: bacterial SSU rRNA
Rfam family: Bacterial small subunit ribosomal RNA
Source: RNAcentral
GCUACCAUGCAGUCGAGCGGAUGAAGGAGCUUGCUCCUGGAUUCAGCGGCGGACGGGUGAGUAAUGCCUAGGAAUCUGCCUGGUAGUGGGGGACAACGUUUCGAAAGGAACGCUAAUACCGCAUACGUCCUACGGGAGAAAGCAGGGGACCUUCGGGCCUUGCGCUAUCAGAUGAGCCUAGGUCGGAUUAGCUAGUUGGUGAGGUAAUGGCUCACCAAGGCGACGAUCCGUAACUGGUCUGAGAGGAUGAUCAGUCACACUGGAACUGAGACACGGUCCAGACUCCUACGGGAGGCAGCAGUGGGGAAUAUUGGACAAUGGGCGAAAGCCUGAUCCAGCCAUGCCGCGUGUGUGAAGAAGGUCUUCGGAUUGUAAAGCACUUUAAGUUGGGAGGAAGGGUUGUAGAUUAAUACUCUGCAAUUUUGACGUUACCGACAGAAUAAGCACCGGCUAACUCUGUGCCAGCAGCCGCGGUAAUACAGAGGGUGCAAGCGUUAAUCGGAAUUACUGGGCGUAAAGCGCGCGUAGGUGGUUUGUUAAGUUGGAUGUGAAAUCCCCGGGCUCAACCUGGGAACUGCAUCCAAAACUGGCAAGCUAGAGUAUGGUAGAGGGUGGUGGAAUUUCCUGUGUAGCGGUGAAAUGCGUAAAUAUAGGAAGGAACACCAGUGGCGAAGGCGACCACCUGGACUGAUACUGACACUGAGGUGCGAAAGCGUGGGGAGCAAACAGGAUUGAUACCCUGU